Molecule: long non-coding RNA, 2309 nt
Filed under: Callithrix jacchus (white-tufted-ear marmoset)
Lineage: Eukaryota; Metazoa; Chordata; Mammalia; Primates; Cebidae
Description: lncRNA (ENSCJAG00000081264.1)
Source: RNAcentral
AUGUGUUUUUUUCUUUUGAGAAGGAGUCUCAAUCUGUCACCCAGGUUGGAAUGGAGUGACAUGAACUCAGCUCACUGCAACCUCUGCCUCACGGGUUCAAGCAAUUUUCCUGCUUCAGCCUCCCAAGUAGCUGAGACUACAGGGUCACCUUCCUACUCCUUCCACUGUCUUCACAGCAUUCUAAAACUGAUCAUUCUGCCUCCCUCUUUAUCUUUUAAAGGGACAUGGAUGAACCUGGAAACCAUCAUUCUCAGCAAACUGACACAAGAACAGAAAAUCAAACACAGCAUGUUCUCACUCAUAGAUGGGUGUUGAACAAUGAGAACACAUGAACACAGUGAGAAAACAGAUUAAUAAUCAUAACAGCAAUCAUAGAUCCUCUACAUUUUAGGGCUGCCAAUCUAUCAGCAACUUCCUUAAGUACCUUGGAGCCUAACUACCUACUCCUACAUUUUUUCCUUAAGGAGUUGAAACCCAGAAAUCUUUUGGGAAAUAGGGCAAAGACCAUUCUUCUGUAACUACUUCCUGCUGAAAAGGGGCAUCAAGGGCCCUCUGGGUCCCUCCUCCUUGCUGGCUGUCUAAAGGCCUUUCUAGGUUCUGUUUUAUUCUCUCUCAAUUAUGUUUAGUCUCACACUUUUUAGAGUUACUAAAGUUGACCUAAAACUCUCCCACCACAAAAGAUAUGGGGAGUUGGGGGGUUUAAUACAGUUCUGAAUCUAAAAACUUUCAUUUCUUGUAAACGAAUGAAUAAGAAUUAGGGCCUGAUUUUCUAUUAUAUUUUCCUUCCCAGACUUUUAUUGGUUUUAGGGCUGUAGAUAUUUUUCAAAUUUUUUGUUGUUGUUGUUUGUUUUGUUUUAUUCAGCUCUUAACUUUGGCCAUACUACUUUUGGUCAUGGCUCUAUUAAUCCCCCAUUUCUCUGCACAAUAGAGUUGUUCAUCUCAGUAUGUAUAAAUUCUAAAUAAUUAUAGUUCUUAAUCUGCCAUCUGAAUUCCAUGUUACCUACAAGAGGACUGACCAGUGCAAUCAUUGCUAAGUAUCCCCUUAGGGGACCAAUAAUCAAUAAUAAUUCCAUAGAAAUUGUUGCGCAGCACCUCAGCCUCUAUCACUACACAAACUUCCUAGGUUAAUGUUCUUAACUUAGGGGACCAUUCUUUAUUUGCAUUCAGACUUUGAUGACCAAAACAUUGUUGCUUUAUUUCCUAAAUUAUUAUGAAAAAUAUUAAGGCCAGAGAUUACUAAAGGAAGGAAAGAAUAUAUGCCCAAUGUGUGAAAUUUCCUUUUACUUCCAUCCCCACUCCAGAAAUACUCACUUUAUUGUGGUAACCAUCAUUAUGAUUACCAUAAUACGCUGCCCUGCUUUCUUCAGCUUUUCCUCCACUAUUUGUGAAAGCUUUUUUAAUUUGACCCCAAGUCGGUGGUGAUGUUUGGCGUGUUCCCCUUGUGGGAAUAGCACUCCCGCUCCAUGUUAGUCUCGCCAUCUCUGCAACUGCGGGAUCCUCUACAAGUCUCUUCUUUGGUAUCUGGCUCACAGUACAGCUUUGAAUUUCUGGAUGGUACGUACCCACACCGAUUGUUGAUUUAGAUAAUAUAAAUCAUAUUUUAGGCUUAAAAGAAAAAAUCCAUAUAAUCAUUAGAACCUAUACUAAAAAUAAGUAUGAAACAAAUAAAUAUACCUAUUUUAAAAUGCUAAAACAAUUUAUUCAAUGAUAUUGCCUUAAUAGAAAAAAAUUGGCAAACAAGUCAGAAUCUGGUAAUUCUCACUGGGGAUAAAGCAGAAACAUUAUUAAAAUGAAAACAAAAGAGAUAUAGUCAUUACAAUUGAUUUUUUUUGGGUGCAGCCAAUGCACAUGGAUAAAAAUUUGUAUUUUUUUAAUUUAGAUUUUCAAUGUUCACAUUUUAUUAUUUGUACACCUAAAACACAAAUAAAACAAAUGAAUGAAAACUGAGAAUACUGAAAAUAAGGUAUAAAAUCAACUGCUACCUGUUACACAAAAAUAUAAGAAAUAUAACCUAUGCAAAUAAAAGAUAAGAAAAAAUUGAAAUUUUGGAUUAAUAAAAAUAACAAAGCAAUAAGACUAAAAUAUAUCAAAUUUAUAUAGAGUUUUCAAGAUGUACUGUUACAUUAAAAAUAUUGAAAUGAGGCCUAUUUUGGGAGGGAAGUUUAAAUAUUAUGAAUAUGCUAUUUUCUAUUUUCUACUUCUGCGCCAUUAUAAUAUAAAAAUAUUUUAACAUAAAACUUGGAAAAAUAACAAACUAUUUUUUGAACUCAUCUGUAAAACUUUCUAGGCAAAGACCCUUUACUAAUCUG